RNAcentral lists this ribosomal RNA (427 nucleotides) under uncultured bacterium. RNAcentral describes it as "partial 16S ribosomal RNA". It matches the Rfam family "Bacterial small subunit ribosomal RNA", at positions 355 to 774 of the family's 1533-position model. The record is from RNAcentral.
UGGGGAAUAUUGGACAAUGGGCGAAAGCCUGAUCCAGCCAUGCCGCGUGUGUGAAGAAGGUCUUCGGAUUGUAAAGCACUCUAAGUUGGGAGGAAGGGCAUUAACCUAAUACGUUAGUGUUUUGACGUUACCGACAGAAUAAGCACCGGCUAACUCUGUGCCAGCAGCCGCGGUAAUACAGAGGGUGCAAGCGUUAAUCGGAAUUACUGGGCGUAAAGCGCGCGUAGGUGGUUUGUUAAGUUGGAUGUGAAAUCCCCGGGCUCAACCUGGGAACUGCAUUCAAAACUGACUGACUAGAGUAUGGUAGAGGGUGGUGGAAUUUCCUGUGUAGCGGUGAAAUGCGUAGAUAUAGGAAGGAACACCAGUGGCGAAGGCGACCACCUGGACUAAUACUGACACUGAGGUGCGAAAGCGUGGGGAGCAAACA